AGCAGCCGCGGUAAUUCCAGCUCCAAUAGCGUAUAUUAAAGUUGUUGCAGUUAAAAAGCUCGUAGUUGAAUUUCGGGAUCAAUGCGUCGGUCGUGCCUCGGUACGUACUAACGAUAUUGAUUUCUCCCUUCUGACGAACCGUGAUGUCAUUAAUUUGGUGUUACGGGGAGUUAGGACUGUUACUUUGAAAAAAUUAGAGUGUUUAAAGCAAGCAAUCGCUCGAAUACAUUAGCAUGGAAUAAUGAAAUAGGACGUUCGAACCUAUUUUGUUGGUUUCUAGGAUCGACGUAAUGAUUAAUAGGGAUAGUUGGGGGCAUUAGUAUUCAAUUGUCAGAGGUGAAAUUCUUGGAUUUAUUGAAGACUAACUACUGCGAAAGCAUUUGCCAAGGAUGUUUUCAUUAAUCAAGAACGAAAGUUAGGGGAUCGAAGACGAUCAGAUACCGUCGUAGUCUUAACCAUAAACUAUGCCGACUAGGGAUCGGAUGAUGUUAAUUUUUUAAUGACUCAUUCGGCGCCUUACG
RNAcentral lists this ribosomal RNA (521 nucleotides) under uncultured Glomeraceae. RNAcentral's name for it is "SSU rRNA". It matches the Rfam family "Eukaryotic small subunit ribosomal RNA", at positions 569 to 1092 of the family's 1831-position model. The record is from RNAcentral. Lineage: Eukaryota; Fungi; Glomeromycota; Glomeromycetes; Glomerales; Glomeraceae.